Molecule: ribosomal RNA, 440 nt
Filed under: uncultured bacterium
Lineage: Bacteria
Description: partial 16S ribosomal RNA
Rfam family: Bacterial small subunit ribosomal RNA
Source: RNAcentral
CCUACGGGCGGCAGCAGUGGGGGAUAUUGCACAAUGGGGGGAACCCUGAUGCAGCGACGCCGCGUGGGUGAAGAAGCGCCUCGGCGCGUAAAGCCCUGUCAGCAGGGACGAAAAUGACGGUACCUGAAGAAGAAGCCCCUGCUAACUACGAGCCAGCAGCCGCGGUAAUACGUAGGGGGCAAGCGUUAUGCGGAUUUACUGGGUGGAAAGGGGGCGCAGACGGCGUUGCAAGCCAGGCGUGAAAGCCCGGGGCCCACACGCGGGAGGGCGCUUGGAACUGCGUGGCUGGAGUGCAGGAGGGGCGAGCGGAAUUCCAUGUGUAGCGGUGAAAUGCGUAGAUAUAAGGAGGAACACCAGUGGCGAAGGCGGCCUGCUGGACUGCAACUGACGUUGAGGCCCGAAAGCGUGGGGAGCAAACAGGAUUAGAUACCCGAGUAGUC